UACGAAGGGGGCAAGCGUUGUUCGGAAUUACUGGGCGUAAAGGGCGCGUAGGCGGCUUAUCAAGUCAGGCGUGAAAUUCCCGGGCUCAACCUGGGGGCUGCGCUUGAUACUGAUGAGCUUGAAUGCGGGAGAGGAUAGUGGAAUUCCCAGUGUAGAGGUGAAAUUCGUAGAUAUUGGGAAGAACACCGGUGGCGAAGGCGGCUAUCUGGCCCGUAAUUGACGCUCAUGUGCGAAAGCGUGGGGAGCAAACAGG
RNAcentral lists this ribosomal RNA (253 nucleotides) under uncultured bacterium. RNAcentral describes it as "partial 16S ribosomal RNA". It matches the Rfam family "Bacterial small subunit ribosomal RNA", at positions 524 to 776 of the family's 1533-position model. The record is from RNAcentral.